CGGGGCCGGGGCCGGGACCGGGGGCGCGGGCGCGGCCGCCUGAGGAAACACGCUCAGAUGAAAAGAAAACAAGUGGGUAAGUCGUCAUUUUUACCAGCUUGGCAAGAAACGAGUGUUACGUCUGGCGCUCUCAGCAUCAAGUCAGGGACUGAAUCAGCAGCUGUUGUGACAGAAGCUUUUUCUGAAUGGAGAUACAGAGACAAAAAGGAAACGGGCCAAGGCGAGGAGGAGGUUCCUCUGAUGCUGCAGCACUUACAUAAAUCAGCUCUGCCCAACCCACAACAUGCUUUUUUUUCUCACUAACGUUGGGAAGGUAAAGCUGAUCUAUCCCAGAGCAGGUUCAUUCAUAAGGCUGUGCUGCCUGCUCAGUCAGAAUCGUCCUCCUGUGGAUGCUGCCAACCAGCUGGCAAAGCAAGUUGAUCAAGGCCUCUCUUGAAGUUGUGCCUCUGGGAAACAACCUGCAUAACCCUCUGGACAAGAUCCCUUUUCCACGUAUCACCUAAACUGUAGACCUUCUGUCUUGUUCAAUUGCUGUUAUUUCCCAGACAUGGCAGAGUCUCCUCACUUGUGCCUCUCUUUACUGAAACACUGACAUGACCCACAGCAGCCACUGAUACAUGAUGAUGAUGAGCUGGCUUAACAAGUCGCAUAAGUACUCCGCUCUGUAACCCUUGACAAUGAGGGGUCAGACAUCUCAGCUUUCCUUUUAGAGCGGCUAAUGCCCCCGAUGUGGGGGAAAUAAAGGAAAUCACUUCUGAGCUGAGACCAAGCAAGGAAUAUUUCAGCCAUAAAGGAAUUAGUCUGAGAAAGUUCCAAGCAGCUGAAAAAGUGGAAUAGAAGAGAAACUGCAUUUUCAUCCUAGCUGUGUUAUCAGGAGCAUUUGCUCUAAUCACCGAUAACAACAAGAACCUCUGUAACCUCCUCCCUGCAUUCUGAUGUCUGGUUUGGUGAUGUGAUCAAAGGCUGGGAAGGAAGUGUGUUUGGUAUGAAAGGAGCAAUUAUUCAGUGACCCUGACGAAGCAGAGACUUGAAACUUCACCUACAUUAUAUGUAUAUACAGUUCAUAAUCAGCUGUGUAUUUGCUCAGAUGCCUGCCACAGAUAACAGCAGGCUCUCUAAUCGCAGUUGGUGCUCCUGUUAAAUGUAGAAUGUCAUGGGCAUCUAUCACCUAUUCAGGAGAGAUGACAGGACCUGCGGUAUCAAGGCAAACCUUGGUUCAAGUUUUCACUCUUCUGCUCCCUGUGUAGGAAUCUACGUAGUAAGAGAAAGGGUGUCUGAGGUGCCGCCUAGCCAUGUAUCCUGCCUGAGACAGUGCCUGGCACAAGAUGUCUACAAGAAAAGUUUUAGGACGCCAGAGUAUAAAAUAAUCGGUGCUUACACGAGGUAUCACCUGGUGCAUCCAUACAUUAUCAGCUGGCUUAACCCUGGAAACAUGAGGCCUUUGUAUCGCUUCCAGAACACUUGUUAGUACAAAUGGCUAUACUCUGGCUAUUCCUAUUGUUUGUAUAAAUGUCAAAUCCCCCUUUUUUUAUUCUUGGCUGGAGCACGCUGUAGUUGGAUGGAUCCGCACAGAUGGAUCCAUUUGCCACUUUGCAAUAGAGCGUCUUCCAGCCUCAAACACAUAACACUGACAUUUUUUUUUUCCGUGCUCUGCUUCCUGGGUUAUGAAUGGAGGGAUCAGCUCUUUUGCUAUGGCAAUAGACGGUCCUACUGUGUGUUUCUACAUAAAAGAAGUGGUUGGGUUGUCUAGUGUGCCUGUUGGACAGGCAGUCUGAUGUCGGAGGUGUCCUUAUUGAUGGCUGAAUAAACAGGAUCUGGAUCUAUAGCUUGCAGGAGUUUUGUCUAUAUAAAAAUGGCAAAAGCAGGCCUUCCGGUCAACACAUGAAUUUCUCCUGCUAUGUCAGAUAGAAAUCAGGAUUUUUGGAGGUAAGUGCCUUGCUAGGGGGAAGGACAGAAGGUGGAACCUGAAGCUUUUAGUGACAGGUCAGUGAGACAGUUGGACUUGUGCUGAGGCAGGCUGUGAUGACAGCUGCAGGACUCUCGUGACAAGGAGAGGGAUGAAAACAAGCAGGGAAGAGAGUUAAUAGACUCCAGAGCAAAGUGCAGGAGAGCAACAGUGUCAGGAGAGCGUCAGUGAAAAGGAGAAGAAAAAAAGCAAGAGAGGAGAGACAGGCUUUCAGGUCUGUCUGCAAACACGCAUGUGACCUGGUGCCUGACCUGCUUUAGGGUUAAAUACACAAAUGGAACUGGUUUUUGUGUUGUUUCCCCCCCUCCCUUUCCUCUGAGGAGUAAUUCUUCUUAACAGAGUAGUCAGUCAGUGCCUGCAAUGGAUAAAGGGAGCCUGUGCAUGGUACUAGUAGCAGUGAUGCCCUGGCCUAUCGGGAUGUGGGGCCACGGUCAUAAUGAGCAGGAGAAGGGACUUUCGGUCGUCUGUGCCUUCCUGCUAGCUUGGCUUUUUGGCAGGACAGCAUGACAUCAUGUGCCUUGGGACUUCAGGAGCGCGGGAAAGGAGAAGUCGUUGCAAUUAUUAUUUCUCAUGUGCAAACUUGGGCUGGCAUAAAUGUAGAGAGACAGACCAGGCUCGUCUGGAAGGAGAGUUUCUCCUGUGAGUAGAAAGGACCACUGCUCCGUUGUCUCAAGUCAUAAUGUCAGUCACCCACUGACCCUUUUUCUAGAGGAAGCAGUGGCAGUGUGUUCAGGACUGUGUUAUUAAUCUGUCCCUGGCCCCUGACAGCAUUGCCUAGGAAGCUGUUCAUGUUAUCUCUCCCAUCACAUCAGCACCUGCCCGGCGUAAAACCUGGCUGGAAGCCAGUGACUGGCACUGCGGUUUGCAGUGACAAAGUGCCUGAAAAUGUCCUUUCGUGCUUUACCCAACACGCCUGCACAGCUAAAUUUUGUUCUGUAGUUGCUGUUGUGCGAAAUCACUCACUUUUAAGGCUCCAGCAGGAAUUGGCUCCCAGACUAUAUGCCAUGUUAGGAGCUUUGCGAGCAGUUCCUUUGUAUGACUUUUACAAAAAGCGGGGAGGAGGGAGGAAGCGUACCUCAAGUCUGUGGAUCUUGGAGGCCGUGGCAGAUCAAGCAAAUCCCUGCUGGCUCUGCAGCUCUCGGGAGCUCUCGGAGGGCUGGUGUGCAGCUGGCGGACCCUCUUGCUCUGUGGAACCUCAGGAGCGGAGAAACCCCAUACGUCCCAGCAGCAGCAAGCUGGCGAAAUGGCACCGAAAGGCAUUCUGUGUGUAUUAAAAUAAUCCUCCCCAGAUGUAAGGUGGGGAUGGGCGCUGCACUGACCUCUGCAAGGCCGGUGUGCGUAGAUGUCCUCUAGGCUCGUCAUCACUCAGAACCGGGGAGCAACAGCAACCAAGGGGAGCAGAAGAGGAGAUGUUAGGCUCCUCCUAGGAAGAAAAGCAGGGGAGCUGGGCCAUCCUUGAAUCCUUGAUGGGUCAUCCUUGAUGGGAGAGGGUUUGACUCACAGGCUUCCUUCAGUUUUCCACUUGGCAAGGAGGUGACAGGAGCAAAGUGAGUGUAAGCAUGCAGCAGUGGGGCUGCUGGCCAUGGAAAGGACUCUGCAGUCCUCCUGGCUCUCUAGCUCCUGCCCUGCCUGUUUUCUGUGAUGGCUGGUGUUAUCACACAAGGUCCCCUUACAUUUUGGCUUGGGUGAAGCAGUUAUGGUUGAAAGAUGCUUUGUUUUCUCGCUCAGUGUGAGACUGAGAUGAAGUAGGGGAGCAGGGAGAGCUCUCCUUCCCACUGAUGCUGCAGUAUGGGUACUCUGCGAGAAGAGGCAGAAGUGGGGCUGGUAGAAGGUGGGUCUAGGCUGAGCUUCCAGAGAUGGCAGCAGCUGGAAAGCUCCUUGAGAAAGCAGCAGCCACCUUCAUCUUCAUUUCUACCCAAUGCAGUUAAAAUCCUCUGUAUCGUGCUCAACACUGUUCUGCGUCUCUUUUCUUGAAGGUCAGGAGCAAGAUCUCAUUCCUGCAUGGAGCCUUGCCCUUGACUUCAGGGAGGGCAGGGUCAGGCCCUUGGCCUGCAUGUUUAUCACCCAGGCAAGUGUUGAAUUGAAAAGCUGGCGUGCACUGUAGCAAACAUCUGAGGGUCUGAAAGACUGAAUGCAGAGUGCUGCCUCAGCCUUUCAUCUCUAGAGAUGGCUUAACAACCUGUUCAAGGUCUGUGCUCCUUGCAAAAAACAUAACACCAGCAAGUCUCACCACAUCUGACACCAUGGGCAGCCUUUGUUCAGAGCAACCGCGCUAAGGACUAAAUUAAUCACAGAGGCUCUGACUGAUGCUGCCCUUUUCUUAGAAAUGGGGACUCAGUCAAAUCCAGGAUAGAGAAGACGGAGAGGUGGGUUGAGAAGAGCUUGCCUGGUUUCUGGCUCGGCCAUAUCCAUUCUGCAGCUGGACAGAGGACCUCAGCACUGUAAGUCCUGCUUGCUUUCCCUACUGUUAUGUUCCUCACAAAACGUAACUAUAUUUCACCUAUUUUUUGUGAGCCUAGAAACAGCCAGCACGGGUCCCAUUCUGACCGGGCAAGAUGACAAACUUGGGUUACCACAUGACCCUGGGCUCUUUUUAUUUGCUGUAAACCUCUUAUACAAAGGUGGUGGGAUUCUUUUUCAUUUGCCGUGUUGCAGUGUGGAAGCAAUCACUAUAAAUUUAAAUGGAGCACUGCUAGGAGCACAUUUACCUUUUAUACAGUAAUUGUGAGAGAGUGCCACUGCCUGAAUGCUAUUAGGGUUAUUCAUACCUUCUCCAAUUUCACUGUAAAACCUUAGGCUGCAAGAGGUACUGUAAAGGGUAUGAUUAUUCUAAAAGGGUAAGUAGUGGUAAGUGUUACAGACCAGUGCUACCACAACAAAUGCAAUCAUUCUGAUUAGCUGGGAAUAGGUGAAGUUGAGGCGUGUGAUCUGGCAGACAAAAGUAGCACAGUUGCUUGUUUUGGUCCGUCGGUGGAAUGGCCCUAUCUCUUUCCUGUCUGGAUCUGCAAUGACUUGGUUGCUGAAGUUGUUGUUGUUACGAAUGAGCCGAGUCCAUGGCAAAACAUGUGGAUGCGAGCAUCCAAACUCAAUACCCCACUGGGGAGCUGGUACCUCUAGAGUAACUUAGCAUAGACCCGAGAUUGCUUCCCCAAACCUUUUCUUCACUGUAAGGGUGGCCAAAAUUUGGAAUGGGCUUCCAAGGGAGGUGGUGCUCUCCCCUACCCUAGGGGUCUUUAAGAGAAGGCUGGACAGGCAUCUGGCUGGGGUCAUUUGACCCCAGCACUCUUUCCUGCCCAGGACAGGGGGUCGGACUUGAUGAUCUGUUGAGGUCCUUCCCUUCAAAGCAUCUAUGAAUCUAUGAAUCCCACCUUCCAAGGUCCCUCAUCAUAUCUUGACAAGGACUAGUUGGAUUCACAUCAGUAAUUAUAUUAUAUUGGAUUUUAUGCAGGGUCUUAACAUCUAUAGCAGUCCUGUCACAUGUUCUUGGUGUGCUGUCUGGUUACAUUCCCCAUUAGGUGCAAAAGGUAUCACCCAUAGAGCUGUAUGAAGCUCACACCCUUCCACCGCGGUUCAGACUAUGCACUUCUGAAGACUUGAAAGUAUAACAGAAAGGGGCCCAGGCAGGACAUUUUCUUCCCCCCAAAAACCCCAACAAAACCAAACCGGGGACUAGAGGCUUAAUUUCUGAAAUGGAACCGUGCAGUUCUGAACAGUUUUACAGUGAUUCAUCAAGAAGGUAAAUGCCUAACUUGGAUCCUGGACACCCAGAGGUUUAAGGGAUAAAAAACCAGGGAUUCAUCUUGAGUUGGAAAAAGAUUGAAAUUAGGUUGGGCCUAACUUCCAUGAGUUAGCCAUGCUUGAGCACUUGUCCUUGGCUAAACAGAUGUUGUGCUGUUCAAAACAGAGAGAAUACCUGACAUGCGUUACUUAUCUCACCAUAACAUCCCAGCAGAAACAAGGCACGGGCAAUUUUUUACCGUGAUGUUUUUGGGCAGGGACAACACUAUAACCAAGUUUUAGGUUUGACCUUGCCUAUCUAUAUUGCUGUAAAAACUACAGAGCCUUGUCUCCAUCAGGACUCUGCAGUGAGACAGGUAACUGCAAAGUUAUCUCACUGCAACAACACACCUCUUUUUGGCAACGAAAGGCUGUUCAAAGGAUGUCGUUGAGCGUUGUGCUGCAAGACAUCUUCAGAAAAGGUAAGAAAUAUAGUCAUGUUACUUCCCUUCCUUCAGCCUCUUACCAAACAAUUUUCAGGCUAGGAUUGAAUCUGAGUGUAACGAUAACAUCCAGAGACACUUACAAAUGUACUAAAUGAAAAAUAAAAUAUGCAGAUGAAGAGAUGGAAAAAGAAUGAAAGAGGUGAACUAGCAACCAAAUUUACUAUUUUCACAGUAAGGCCAAAUGAAUUUGACAUUUCCUUAUAAUGCCACUUUUCAAAGUAAAGUAAAAAUCAUUCCUCAUUUCUGUAUUUUUGUUUGUGAAUAUUUGCUUGUGGCUCUCAGGAAAACUCCUGUGAGCUAAUUAUGCUUAAACAAAUACAUGAGAGCAGAUUCUCUCCUCACUUUCAUCUGUACAACUCAGUUGACUUUAGUGGGGGUCUACAGUGCUGAUGUUACCAUUGAAUUUUGACUAAUUUACAUGAAAACAUGUUAGCGCUUAGUAAAAGAUAGGGCUGCUCUGUGUGUGUGUGUGUGUGUGUGUGUGUGUGUGUGUGUGUACACAGCAGCUGUAUCUUUAACAUAUAUAAAAGAUCAGAAUGUGUGUGUGUGUGUGUGUGUGUGUACACAGCAGCUCUAUCUUUAACAUAUAUAAAAGAUCAGAAUGUGUGUGUGUGUGUGUGUACACAGCAGCUCUAUCUUUAACAUAUAUAAAAGAUCAGAAUGUGUGUGUGUGUGUGUGUGUGUGUACACAGCAGCUCUAUCUUUAACAUAUAUAAAAGAUCAGAAUGUGUGUGUGUGUGUGUGUGUGUAUGUACACAGCAGCUCUAUCUUUAACAUAUAUAAAAGAUCAGAAUGUGUGUGUGUGUGUGUGUGUAUGUACACAGCAGCUCUAUCUUUAACAUAUAUAAAAGAUCAGAAUGUGUGUGUGUGUGUGUGUGUGUAUGUACACAGCAGCUCUAUCUUUAACAUAUAUAAAAGAUCAGAAUGUGUGUGUGUGUGUGUGUGUGUAUGUACACAGCAGCUCUAUCUUUAACAUAUAUAAAAGAUCAGAAUGUGUGUGUGUGUACACAGCAGCUCUAUCUUUAACAUAUAUAAAAGAUCAGAAUGUGUGUGUGUGUGUGUGUACACAGCAGCUCUAUCUUUAACAUAUAUAAAAGAUCAGAACGUGUGUGUGUGUGUGUGUGUGUGUGUGUGUGUAAAUAAAAGAUCAGGACACAACAUGACUAGUGCCCUAAUGGCAGGACUAGGAGGAGUGGCCUCAAGCUGCAGCAGGGGAAACUUAAACUGGAGAUUAGGAGGAACUUUCUGACUCUGAGGACGGUCAGGCAUUGGAACAGGUUACCUAGAGAAGGGAUCUUCAUGCUUUGAAACUUUCAAAAGCAGGUGAAAUGUUUGGCUGGAAUGGUUCAAUCAGGGAUGAUCCUUCCUUGAACAGGGAUCUGGACUAGGUGACCUUGUGAGGUCCUUUCCAGCCCUACUUUCCUAUGACCCUAUGUGAUGCCUCUGCUGUUUGAAAGAAAGGACUGGAGUUGCCAGCAUCUUUGGCUUUCAGUUAUUUCUUCUUUUCCUUGCCUUUUGUCCUAAUGUAUUUUGUAUGAUGUGUCAGCAUUGACUGUUUGGUGAAAAAUGCAUGAUAUUUAUGAGAUCAUGUCAUUUCAUUAGACACUUUUGAUUUCAACAGGUAAAUCUGUAAUUUUGUGUUUGAUAUUUAAAAACGUGUUCAUUUCAACGGUAACUGUGAAAGUAUGGUUGUGGGCCCUUAAACAAUAUGCAGCCAUGGAGGGAAAUGGUCUACAAAUUUGAAAUGUGGGAUGAAACCUAAAAAGUAGGUAGAGAGGUUUGUAAAAUCUUUAAAGAAGUUGACCCAUCUCUAGUAUUAAAAUUUCCUUAUGUUUGUGUCAACGAUAGUACUUUAAGAUAAUUUGAGUUGUCAGAUGUAAGUUGUAUGUUAGUACUGUUUGCUCACUACAUAUACAAGGAAACAAACACAUAGGAAUAAUCUAAUAAAUUGACUGGGAAGGUGUUUUGUAAAUCUAAUGUUCAUUGAAAAGAAAUCUUCCAGAGGUUCCAGAUAGUGAUUUACAUCCUUUAUUAUUAAGCUUUCUUUAAAGUAUAUAUGACAUAUGGGUGCAUCUACACAUGCCCAUUAAUGCAUAGAUUGUAGGCUGGAAGGGAUCUCAGAAGAUCAUCAUCUCCAGCCCCCUGGCACCAAGCAGGAAAGACAACGGAUACUGGAAGAUAUAUUGCUUCUCCCUACGUCACUGGGGGGAAGAUAUACAUAGUUGGUGACAAUAGCUUAUGUUAGAAACAUUCUCACUGUAUGCAGUAGUAUCUGAUAUUGUUUGUUGAAAAUAAAUAAUGAGUUUAAAAUUGA
Molecule: long non-coding RNA, 8503 nt
Organism: Alligator mississippiensis (American alligator)
Lineage: Eukaryota; Metazoa; Chordata; Crocodylia; Alligatoridae
Exons: 3
Source: RefSeq, a predicted model, not a curated record